CUUUUGGUUGUUUACCAAAACCUGAAAUGGUUUUAAUUUAAUUAGAGAAGGCGACUUGACUCUUUUGCCCCUCAUCAUCUCUUUCACAUUCACGGGAGAUUUUUCACGGUCUUCUUUCUUUCACCGUGGCCAACAGGCCAAGCUCCUCACGGGUCCUCACCCGCCGCCAUGCUCCUCACCUGAGGUCUCCUCAUCCACGCCCAGGCUCCUCACCGCGCCCACGCCAGCAGGGGGCUUGCGCCAGCAGCCAGCGCUCUCCGGUCCCCGCACCACCGACUGCAGGCGGUGGUUGUUCGAUUGCCGCCCCGAAGCUCUGCACCAUCGCCACCGUCGACGCCCUCCACGUUGGCUGCUCCUCCUACAACAGGUUACAUAAGAAAAGGAAAAAGGUAGUUAUCGGAUGGAGUCCAUCUCAAUUGAUGAUUUCCAUGGCAUUGAUGAUGAGCCUUUAGCAAUAGUAGAAGCUCAUGUUCGACAUGAUCAACCACUAGCUGCUAUUGACUGGGACACACUACAUAUUUUUGAUAGUACAUAUGAAGAAGGAAGGAUAGAAAUAGUUGAUGAUAACCAAAUGUAUGUGCUAUUGGGGCUAAGAGAUGAGGAUGAGGCUGCUGAUAAGGGUAGUGAAACUUUCGAGCAGGCAGACAAUGCACAUGCAGCUAGUGGCAAUGACACCUUUGUUGACAAUGACACUCUUGGUGCAGCCAUCCUUGUUAAUGAUGACAUACCAGGGGAGAGGGUGGUGGUGCAUGAUCCGGAUAAUCCUUGUAUGGAUAUUGGAACUGUGUACCCAAGCAUGCGUGAAUUUAGGUUAGCUAUGAGACAGUUUGCUAUAAAUGAAGAGUUUGAGCUGCAAAUCGUGAAAACUGACCCGAGUCGAUUUAUUGGUGAUUGCAAAGGGGAGGAUUGCCCGUGGCAUAUCGUGGGCCGUAGGCAACCCGAUGGGAAGACUGUUAUGGUGACAGUGUUACUUGAUGAACACAAUUGUACCUCCAGCGCUAGAAGAAAGACCACUACACCUACUAGUGCAUGGGUGGCAUCAAAGGCUAUUCAUCUGUUAAAGAAUUCAGCCAUGGGAACUAAAGAUUUAAGGAUUAGGUUGGAAGAAAAAUACAAGUGUGAAAUACCUUAUGACACUGUUUGGAAGGGAAGACAACUAGCACUGAAAGAGUUGCAUGGCAGCUGGGAAGAAAGCUUUCAGAUGCUAUUCAAUUGGAGAGCAGAGGUUUUGAGUCGGUCUCCAGAGAGUGUCAUCGAGGUUGACAUUAAAGAGGUGGAUGGCAAGGUAUAUUUUCAUAGGUUUUUUUGUGCAUUGGGUCCUUGCAUUAAAGGUUUUUUAGAGGGUUGCAGGCCAUAUCUAAGUAUAGACUCUACAACACUUAAUGGUAGGUGGAAUGGGCAUAUGGCUGCAGCAACUGCUAUAGAUGGUCACAAUUGGAUGUACCCAGUAGCCUUUGGAUUCAUAGAUGGUGAAACUGAAGAUAAUUGGGUCUGGUUCAUGAGUCAAAUGAAAAGGGCCAUAGGAGAUCUCCCUUUGCUUGCUGUGUGCACAGAUGCAUGUAAAGGACUCGAAAAGGCAGUUAAGCUUGUUUUCCCUUAUGCUGAACAAAGAGAAUGCUUUAGACAUCUCAUGCAGAAUUUUGUAAAAAGAUUUGGUGGUGACAUCUUCUCCAAUAUGUACCCUGCAGCCAGAGCUUAUAGGCCAGGAGUCAGCCAGUACUUUUACAAUCAAGUUGUGGAAGCUUCAGAGGAUGCAAAGAAGUGGCUAGAAAUGUACCAUAAUUUGAAGUGGAAAAGGAGUGAGUUUAACCCUGCCAUUAAGUGUGAUUAUAUCACCAACAACCUAGCUGAAGUUUUCAACAAUUGGGUUAAAGAUUGGAAAGACCUUCCAGUUGUUGAGCUUGCAGACAAGUGUAGAGAGCUGAUAAUGAUUUUAUGGCAAAAAAGAAGAAGGAUUGUAGAGAGCUGAUAGUGUGGAUGUGGAGCUGGAGGAUUUUGUGCAUGAUUUUUAUUCAGUUCAGAGGUUCAAAAAUGCAUACAAGAGAAUUAUAGAGCCAAUGCCAGAUAAGUCUCAGUGGCCACAUGUGGACCUACCAUUUGCUGUUGCUGCACCACUAGACAAGAGAGGUAGAGGAAGGUACAAAAAACUCAGAAUCAAGAGUUGUCUUGAAGGUGGGAAUAGCAAGAGCAAGAAGGCUGCUGCAGAAAAAGGAAAAGAGGCUGACAAAGAGGCAGCUAAUGAAGUUGACAUGCAGGCUGAAAACCAAACUGAAAAAGGCAAGAAGAAGAUGAUAAGAGGGAAGAGAAGGUGCAAAAAAUGUGGAGAACUAGGCCACGGUGAAACCAGCUAUAAGUGUCCAUUAAAUGGAACAAAGAAAAGGAAGAGAAAGCCUCGGAAGAACACAACUAAGUAUGGGGAGAAUGCCAAAGUGCCAACGCAAAAGAAGUCAAAAGAAUGUGCUGCUGUCCAAGAAAUGGAGGAAGGUGCUGCUGUCCAAGAAAUGGAGGAAGUUGCUGCUAUCCAAGAAAUGGAGGAAGGUGCUGCUGUUCAGAACCCAACUAAGCCUACAAUGGAAACAAUUAUAAAUGAUAGCCCAAUUAGGGUCACCAGAAGUCGACUUGCAAUGCUAUUGGGAGUUGGUCCAACCUCACAGGAAGGUCUGCCAUCAGCAUCAGACAAGAUGACAACUCCUACAAAGCUAACACCUAGGAAACUGAGAUGCUGAUAUGUGAAAUCAGCUAGUAUUUAUUAGUAGCAUGUAUCUGAGAUGUGAACUGAACCACUAUUAGUAGCAUGUAUCUGAGAUGUGAACUCAACCACUAUUAGUAGCAUGUAUCUGAGAUGUGAACUCAACCACUAUUAUGUAUCUAAGAAAGUUUGAGAUGGCUACUUGCCUUUUCUCAUAUGGAGAGCCAUGUCUAUCUGA
Non-coding RNA from Zea mays, 2927 nucleotides. NCBI's taxonomy places the organism in Eukaryota, Viridiplantae, Streptophyta, Magnoliopsida, Poales, Poaceae. The record is from RefSeq and is a predicted model, not a curated record.